CUACCCACAGGAAGAGAAGAAGGGAGUUCAGACGUACCGAGUUCACCGCGGAGAGCAAGGGAAGAGCUGGGGAUGGAAGGGCCUGGAGUAGCACGGCCUUUUAUACGCUCCCCUGGGGCUCUGGGCCGCAGUAUAAAAGUGGCCCAACUGCCAGCUCCUCCAUCCUCUCCUCGCGCCUUCCUCUGCUCCGGGAAGUUGUGGCUGCUGUCUUCAGGAGCCUGUUGCGUUGUGCUCAGCCACGUCCCCUCCUGAGAGCAGGGUGAGAGGAGCCCCACCUGGCAAGACCAGGGCACUCCAGGGCAGGGCGUUUGGCUGCGUGAACAGAUGGGUGCUGGUACCAGGGCUGAUGGCCAGGAAGUGCAGA
Long non-coding RNA from Pezoporus flaviventris, 364 nucleotides. RefSeq lists it as uncharacterized. The transcript is spliced from 3 exons. The record is from RefSeq and is a predicted model, not a curated record. NCBI's taxonomy places the organism in Eukaryota, Metazoa, Chordata, Aves, Psittaciformes, Psittacidae.